Molecule: ribosomal RNA, 500 nt
Filed under: uncultured bacterium
Lineage: Bacteria
Description: bacterial SSU rRNA
Rfam family: Bacterial small subunit ribosomal RNA
Source: RNAcentral
AAUGAACGCUGGCGGCGUGCCUAACACAUGCAAGUCGGAUGUGCCCGCAAGGGUGCAUGGCAGACGGGUGAGUAACGCGUGGGGAAUCUACCUUUUAGUGGGGAAUAACGCUCCGAAAGGAGUGGUAAUACCGCAUGUGACCAUCGGCUGGGAUGCUGAUGGUGAAACCCUGGGACCUUCGGGCCAGGGGCUAGAAGAGGAUCCUGCGUCUGAUUAGCUAGUUGGCGGGGUAACGGCCCACCAAGGCGACGAUCAGUAGCCGGCCUGAGAGGGUGAUCGGCCACACUGGAACUGAGACACGGUCCAGACUCCUACGGGAGGCAGCAGUGGGGAAUUUUGCGCAAUGGACGAAAGUCUGACGCAGCAACGCCGCGUGGGUGAUGAAGGUCUUCGGAUUGUAAAACCCUGUCGCCAGGGACGAAGGGUGGGGCGUGAAUAGCGCCUUACUUUGACGGUACCUGGAAGGAAGCCCCGGCUAACUCUGUGCCAGCAGCCGCGGU